Molecule: microRNA, 21 nt
Filed under: Medicago truncatula (barrel medic)
Lineage: Eukaryota; Viridiplantae; Streptophyta; Magnoliopsida; Fabales; Fabaceae
Description: mtr-miR5212-3p
Source: miRBase by way of RNAcentral
CCAAGGAAAUAGAUAUCCAGC